UACGUAGGGGGCAAGCGUUGUCCGGAAUCAUUGGGCGUAAAGAGCGUGUAGGUGGACUGGAAGGUCUGGUGUGAAAGCCCGGGGCUCAACCCCGGAGGGUCACCUGAAACCGACAGUCUUGAGUCCGGAAGAGGAGAGUGGAAUUCCUGGUGUAGCGGUGGAAUGCGCAGAUAUCAGGAGGAACACCAAUGGCGAAGGCAGCUCUCUGGUACGUGACUGACACUGAGACGCGAAAGCGUGGGGAGCGAACAGG
RNAcentral lists this ribosomal RNA (253 nucleotides) under uncultured bacterium. RNAcentral describes it as "partial 16S ribosomal RNA". It matches the Rfam family "Bacterial small subunit ribosomal RNA", at positions 524 to 776 of the family's 1533-position model. The record is from RNAcentral.